Molecule: long non-coding RNA, 208 nt
Filed under: Elaeis guineensis (African oil palm)
Lineage: Eukaryota; Viridiplantae; Streptophyta; Magnoliopsida; Arecales; Arecaceae
Description: long non-coding RNA (EGUI_LNC057377)
Source: RNAcentral
UCAUAUGAUUCAGCUCUUCUAUUGUAAGUCCUGAAUGAAGGUCAUGGAGAAUUCGUCAGAUCCCAUCAUCAGUCAUAUGUUAGAUUAGCUCGAUUUGAAUUUAUUUAUGAAUCUCUUGGAAAUUUUUUUUUAGUAUUCACAUUUGCUUUGGUCGAAGACUUUCUGAACUCAUAUUUGCAAAUUGCAUAAGAUUUCUCUUUUUCUACUA